RNAcentral lists this ribosomal RNA (50 nucleotides) under Lactifluus cf. zenkeri AV 11-050. RNAcentral describes it as "partial 28S ribosomal RNA". The record is from RNAcentral. Lineage: Eukaryota; Fungi; Basidiomycota; Agaricomycetes; Russulales; Russulaceae.
CUGACCUCAAAUCGGGUGAGACUACCCGCUGAACUUAAGCAUAUCAAUAA